AGCAGCUGUGGUGUAGUGGUUAUCACGUUUGCUUUACACGCAAAAGGUCUCCGGUUCGAUCCCGGGCAGCUGCAAU
This 76-nucleotide transfer RNA is filed under the name Helianthus annuus (common sunflower). RNAcentral's name for it is "tRNA-Val". It matches the Rfam family "tRNA". Rfam says of the family: Transfer RNA (tRNA) molecules are approximately 80 nucleotides in length. The record is from RNAcentral. Lineage: Eukaryota; Viridiplantae; Streptophyta; Magnoliopsida; Asterales; Asteraceae.